UACGUAGGGACCAAGCGUUGUUCGGAUUUACUGGGCGUAAAGGGCGCGUAGGCGGCGUGACAAGUCACUUGUGAAAUCUCCGGGCUUAACUCGGAACGGCCAAGUGAAACUGUCAUGCUAGAGUGCAGAAGGGGCAAUCGGAAUUCUUGGUGUAGCGGUGAAAUGCGUAGAUAUCAAUAGGAACUCCGGUGGCGAAGGCGGCAUGCUGGACCUUUUCUGACGCUGAGGCGCGAAAGCCAGGGGAGCAAACGGG
This 253-nucleotide ribosomal RNA is filed under the name uncultured bacterium. RNAcentral describes it as "partial 16S ribosomal RNA". It matches the Rfam family "Bacterial small subunit ribosomal RNA", at positions 524 to 776 of the family's 1533-position model. The record is from RNAcentral.